RNAcentral lists this long non-coding RNA (611 nucleotides) under Rattus norvegicus (Norway rat). RNAcentral describes it as "long non-coding RNA NONRATT006304". The record is from RNAcentral. Lineage: Eukaryota; Metazoa; Chordata; Mammalia; Rodentia; Muridae.
CAGGGGGCUGGUGGCACGUCGUCCUCAAUCUUGACACCACCAUUGCCAUCACCCAGAACUUUGCCAGCAGCACCAACUUCCCUGUUGUGUGGCACAAGACGGUAAGAGGGCGGCCAAAGUUAUCCAGGAAGUGGUAUAGGAUCUUGAAGCAGGAGCACCCUGAGCUGGCAGUGCUUGCCGACGCUGUUGACCUCCAAGAGUCCACAGGCAUCGCCUCUGACAGCUCCAGUGACUCUUCUAGCUCCUCCAGCUCCAGCUCGUCGGACUCAGACUCGGAGUGUGAAUCUGGGUCAGAAGGUGAUGGGACAACACAUCGCAGGAAGAAGAGGAGAACUUGCAGCAUGGUGGGAAAUGGGGACACUACCUCACAGGAUGACUGCGUGAGCAAAGAGCGCAGUUCCUCCAGGUGACCACAUGUGGCCGCUGUCUGUGCAAGGCUGUGCUUGCAGCAAGGCUUAGGAGGGCUGACACCCAGAGAACAAGGACACUGAGAUGGGAGUUGGUAGCAUUUGGUACAGUGGCUUUUCUCCAUGGUCAUAUCUUAGGGGCAAAGGUGUGUGGAUGGUGCCAACGAAACCCUUUACCUAUUUAAUAAAGACGAAUACAUUUUA